GGUUCUAUGGUCUAAUGGCAAGACGACAGGUCGUGGCCCUGUAAAUGCGUUUUCAAUUAACGCUAGAGCCU
RNAcentral lists this transfer RNA (71 nucleotides) under Klosneuvirus KNV1. RNAcentral describes it as "tRNA-His". It matches the Rfam family "tRNA". From Rfam's summary of the family: Transfer RNA (tRNA) molecules are approximately 80 nucleotides in length. Their secondary structure includes four short double-helical elements and three loops (D, anti-codon, and T loops). Further hydrogen bonds mediate the characteristic L-shaped molecular structure. tRNAs have two regions of fundamental functional importance: the anti-codon, which is responsible for specific mRNA codon recognition, and the 3' end, to which the tRNAs corresponding amino acid is attached (by aminoacyl-tRNA synthetases). tRNAs cope with the degeneracy of the genetic code in two manners: having more than one tRNA (with a specific anti-codon) for a particular amino acid; and 'wobble' base-pairing, i.e. permitting non-standard base-pairing at the 3rd anti-codon position. Lineage: Varidnaviria; Bamfordvirae; Nucleocytoviricota; Megaviricetes; Imitervirales; Mimiviridae. The record is from RNAcentral.